GCCGAAGUGGUGAAAUUGGUAAACGCACCGGUUUCAGGGACCGGCGGGAGCAAUCCCUUGGGGGUUCGAGUCCCCCCUUCGGCACCA
This 87-nucleotide transfer RNA is filed under the name Gemmatimonadota bacterium. RNAcentral's name for it is "Gemmatimonadetes bacterium tRNA-Leu". It matches the Rfam family "tRNA". From Rfam's summary of the family: Transfer RNA (tRNA) molecules are approximately 80 nucleotides in length. Their secondary structure includes four short double-helical elements and three loops (D, anti-codon, and T loops). The record is from RNAcentral. Lineage: Bacteria; Pseudomonadati; Gemmatimonadota.